This 327-nucleotide ribosomal RNA is filed under the name uncultured eukaryote. RNAcentral's name for it is "partial 18S ribosomal RNA". It matches the Rfam family "Eukaryotic small subunit ribosomal RNA", at positions 1470 to 1796 of the family's 1831-position model. The record is from RNAcentral.
CCCUUAGAUGUCCUGGGCCGCACGCGCGCUACACUGACGAAUGCAACGAGCUUAUAACCUUGGCCGAAAGGUCUGGGUAAUCUCCAAAUUUCGUCGUGAUGGGGAUAGAUUAUUGCAAUUAUUAAUCUUCAACGAGGAAUGCCUAGUAAGCGCAAGUCAUCAGCUUGCGUUGAUUACGUCCCUGCCCUUUGUACACACCGCCCGUCGCUCCUACCGAUUGAAUGGUCCGGUGAAGCGCUCGGACCGCGGCCUCUUGACGGUUCGCUGUCGAUUGGCUGUGGGAAGUUCGUUAAACCUUAUCAUUUAGAGGAAGGAGAAGUCGUAACA